CCCUAAAUCCUGAUACUUACCCCACCUAAGUAUCCGCCCGAGAACUACGAGCACAAACGCUUAAAACUCUAAGGACUUGGCGGUGCCCUAAACCCACCUAGAGGAGCCUGUUCUAUAAUCGAUAACCCACGAUACACCCGACCAUCUCUUGCCCAUGCAGCCUACAUACCGCCGUCCCCAGCCCGCCUUAAGUGAAAGAACAGCAGGCAUAAUAGCUACCCGCUAACAAGACAGGUCAAGGUAUAGCAUAUGGGAUGGAAGAAAUGGGCUACAUUUUCUAAUCUAGAACAACCACGGAAGAGGGCAUGAAACACCCUCCGAAGGCGGAUUUAGCAGUAAAGUAGGAUCAGAAAGCCCAC
Molecule: ribosomal RNA, 359 nt
Filed under: Rhea americana (greater rhea)
Lineage: Eukaryota; Metazoa; Chordata; Aves; Rheiformes; Rheidae
Description: 12S ribosomal RNA
Rfam family: Bacterial small subunit ribosomal RNA
Source: RNAcentral